RNAcentral lists this small RNA (324 nucleotides) under Pan troglodytes (chimpanzee). Its description in RNAcentral is "retained intron". Lineage: Eukaryota; Metazoa; Chordata; Mammalia; Primates; Hominidae. The record is from RNAcentral.
AGGAUUGGGCCGAGCCUAUGCCCUGGCUUUUGCAGAAAGAGGAGCGUUAGUUGUUGUGAAUGAUUUGGGAGGGGACUUCAAAGGAGUUGGUAAAGGCUCCUUAGCUGCUGAUAAGGUUGUUGAAGAAAUAAGAAGGAGAGGUGGAAAAGCAGUGGCCAACUAUGAUUCAGUGGAAGAAGGAGAGAAGGUUGUGAAGACAGCCCUGGAUGCUUUUGGAAGAAUAGAUGUGACUUGUAUCUUUUUAUAUUGUAGAUGUUGUGGUCAACAAUGCUGGAAUUCUGAGGGAUCGUUCCUUUGCUAGGAUAAGUGAUGAAGACUGGGGUA